RNAcentral lists this unclassified non-coding RNA (215 nucleotides) under uncultured fungus. RNAcentral describes it as "sequence contains ITS2". Lineage: Eukaryota; Fungi. The record is from RNAcentral.
AAUUCUCAACCCUUUUUGAUUUGUUUCAAAGAUGGGCUUGGACUGUGGAGGUUUUGCUGUGGAUAUUCAUUUCCUCAGCUCCUCUGAAAUGUAUUGGCAAAAGGCGACGCAUGAACGGCUUUUUCGGUGUGAUAAUGAUCACCGUGGCUGGAGUGUGACAAUGUCUGUGCCUCUAACAAGUUGAUGGCCUUUGUUGGCUCUCAACGCUUUUGAAC